Molecule: ribosomal RNA, 497 nt
Filed under: uncultured bacterium
Lineage: Bacteria
Description: partial 16S ribosomal RNA
Rfam family: Bacterial small subunit ribosomal RNA
Source: RNAcentral
GAUGAACGCUGGCGGCGUGCCUAAUACAUGCAAGUCGAGCGAACAGACCAGGAGCUUGCUCCUCUGACGUUAUCGGCCGACGGGUGAUUAACACGUGGAUAACCUACCUAUAAGACUGGGAUAACUUCAGCAAACCGUGGCUAAUACCGAAUAAUUUAUUGAACCUCAUUGUUCAAUAGUUAAAUACGGUUUUGCUUUCACUUAUAGAUUGAUCCGCCCCGGAUUAGCUAGUUGGUAAUGAAAUGGCUUACCAAGGCAACGAUGCGUAGACGACCCGAGAGGGUGGUCGGCCACCAGGGAAGUGAGACACGGUACAGACUCCUACGGGAGGACGCAGUAGGGAAUCUUACGCAAUGGGCGAAAGCCUGACGGAGGAAAGCGGAGUGAGUGAUGAAGGUCUUCGGAUCGUAAAACUCUGUUAUUAGGGGAGAACAAAUGUGUAAGUAACUAGGAUCGUAAUGACGGUACCUAAUCAGAAAGCCACGGCUAACUACGUG